This 47-nucleotide transfer RNA is filed under the name Linum album. RNAcentral describes it as "partial tRNA-Leu". Lineage: Eukaryota; Viridiplantae; Streptophyta; Magnoliopsida; Malpighiales; Linaceae. The record is from RNAcentral.
AAAAUCCGUCGACUUUAGAAAUCGUGAGGGUUCAAGUCCUAUCCCCA